UACAGAGGGGGCAAGCGUUGUUCGGAAUUACUGGGCGUAAAGGGCGCGUAGGCGGCCGCCUAAGUCAGACGUGAAAUCCCUCGGCUCAACCGGGGAACUGCGUCUGAUACUGGAUGGCUUGAGUUUGGGAGAGGGAUGCGGAAUUCCAGGUGUAGCGGUGAAAUGCGUAGAGAUCGGGAGGAACACCCACGGCGAAGGCGGCCAUCUGGACCAGUACUGACGCUGAGGCACGAAAGCGUGGGGAGCAAACAGG
This 253-nucleotide ribosomal RNA is filed under the name uncultured bacterium. RNAcentral's name for it is "partial 16S ribosomal RNA". It matches the Rfam family "Bacterial small subunit ribosomal RNA", at positions 524 to 776 of the family's 1533-position model. The record is from RNAcentral.